RNAcentral lists this long non-coding RNA (1415 nucleotides) under Macaca mulatta (Rhesus monkey). RNAcentral describes it as "lncRNA (ENSMMUG00000057028.1)". The record is from RNAcentral. Lineage: Eukaryota; Metazoa; Chordata; Mammalia; Primates; Cercopithecidae.
ACUCUGGCCUGCAUGAUUAAAGCGCUGGGGAAUGAAAGGGGGGAAUUGGAGGGCAGCUGCAGCUAGCCAUGAACAAGGAUGCACUUCUCCUGGUGAACGAUGCUUGUUGGGUGCCCUGUCCCCUAAGGAUAUCUGAGUAAGAGCCAGACAGAUGGGAGAAAUUUGGGGAUUAGGAGACCGUCAGUUUCUCAUCCCUGUGGAACUACAUGGAGCUUAUUCUGAAAAUCACCUUCUCCUGCCUCCUCUGAGGUGACUUAAGAACUCCGUUCCCCUCUAACCUGGGCUUCAUGGGCCCUUCCGUGGAACCCCAGGCCACUGGCUGCCUGGACUGACCAUGUCCACUUGUGUUAGCCAACACGUGAGCCUGAGAGGCUGGAGCUCAGAAUACACCCUGGGGCAUGGGGACAAGUCCUGGGCAGUGGCUGGAGCUCUGUCUGUCAUUUUCCUUCAACCAGCAAGUGUGUCUGAGCCAAAAUAGAAGGAUGGAGCAGACAUUCAGAAGCAUCUCUCCUGAAGACAGGCCAGCGUCCAGCUUCCCGUCACUCACUGAAGAGCACUGGGCGCCCGCGGGGGCUGUGUGGGCUGCUGCACGAGAGCUACAGUGAGCAGACAGGCAACGUCCCACUGCUCCAGGGACGCGUGUUCUACUGGGGCAGAGACAACAGCAACAAGCAGACAAGAAACGCCGCAGAGUGCUGUGUGCCAGUGACACUAUUCCUGCACGAGAGAACUGUGACUGGAUUCCGCCAGGGAGGAGCUGUGACCAGCGGGGCGGAGACGGGGGAGGGAAGAGCCGGCGUCACCUCCAGGCCUCCUGUGCCCGAGGGGAGGAAGAGCCAGCGUCCCUGGCCACAGGUGAGAAUCACCGCAUCGGUGAGAGCUGCGGCUGCAUCUGAUCUAGAUGCAGCAGCUGAAGGUCGGGAGUGCUUGUGGCUCACCUGUCUCAGGCUACGGAGCCCUCCUCGCAACCUUGCGGAGUACGGUUUCCUCCAGUGACUCGCCUGUAUUUCAUCUCUUCCCUGGUGGAACAGGUCACCCUGCAAACGUGGUUCAUUAGUACCCUGGGGGAACGUCCCGGGGGAACGUCCUGGGGGACUGAAUGGAUUAUGAGGGAAAAGCAAGCAGGACAGUGAAAGGGGAAGAGACCAGGCCGAGGACACCCCAGGGCUGAAGUGAAAGAUCCCUGAUGGGCAGGGGUGGCGUGACCGGGCUCCCAAGAUCGGGUCCUGAUCCGGGUUUUCGUGUAGCAAGGUCACGUGUGGAGACCGGGGCCCCGGGGCUGUGGGCCGGGGUGACGCUGCCAUGCGUGGGGGAAAGGGUGGCAAAUUGUGGCCUCGGUCUCUUCCGAACUUUCCAGUUCAGUUGCUUUUUAAAAAGGUGCUCAGCCUUCCUUUUCAGGCCAACUUUAGUGUGAC